GGGUUCUGGGGGUUAGUGGCGAACGGGUGAGUAACACGUGAGUAACCUGCCCUUCACUUCUGGAUAACCGCUUGAAAGGGUGGCUAAUACGGGAUGUUUCUGGGUCUGUCGCAUGGCGGGUUCGGGAAAGAUGGCACUGUUUGGUGUUUUUGGUGGGGGAUGGGCUCGCGGCCUAUCAGCUUGUUGGUGGGGUGAUGGCCUGCCAAGGCUUUGACGGGUAGCCGGCCUGAGAGGGUGGGCGGUCACACUGGGACUGAGAUACGGCCCAGACUCCUACGGGAGGCAGCAGUGGGGAAUAUUGCACAAUGGGCGGAAGCCUGAUGCAGCGACGUCGCGUGAGGGAUGGAGGCCUUCGGGUUGUGAACCUCUUUCGCCAGUGAGGAAGGCCUUGCCCGUGUGGUGGGGUUGACGGUAGCUGGGUUAAUUGAAGCGCCGGCUAACUACGUGCCAGCAGCCGCGGUAAUACGUAGGGCGCGAGCGUUGUCCGGAAUUAUUGGGCGUAAAGGGCUUGUAGGCGGUUGGUCGCGUCUGCCGUGAAAUCCUCUGGCUCAGCUGGGGGCGUGCGGUGGGUACGGGCUGGCUUGAGUGCGGUAGGGGAGGCUGGAACUCCUGGUGUAGCGGUGGAAUGCGCAGAUAUCAGGAGGAACACCGGUGGCGAAGGCGGGUCUCUGGGCCGUUACUGACGCUGAGGAGCGAAAGCGUGGGGAGCGAACAGGAUUAGAUACCCUGGUAGUCCACGCUGUAAACGUUGGGCACUAGGUGUGGGGGGUCUUUCCGGGUCCUCCGCGCCGUAGCUAACGCAUUAAGUGCCCCGCCUGGGGAGUACGGCCGCAAGGCUAAAACUCAAAGGAAUUGACGGGGGCCCGCACAAGCGGCGGAGCAUGCGGAUUAAUUCGAUGCAACGCGAAGAACCUUACCAAGGCUUGACAUGUGCCGGUUGUCCUUCGGAGACGGAGGGUCCUCCCUUUGCGGGGGUCGGUUCACAGGUGGUGCAUGGUUGUCGUCAGCUCGUGUCGUGAGAUGUUGGGUUAAGUCCCGCAACGAGCGCAACCCUUGUCCCGUGUUGCCAGCACGUCGUGGUGGGGACUCGCGGGAGACUGCCGGGG
RNAcentral lists this ribosomal RNA (1106 nucleotides) under Actinomyces gerencseriae. Its description in RNAcentral is "bacterial SSU rRNA". It matches the Rfam family "Bacterial small subunit ribosomal RNA", at positions 80 to 1157 of the family's 1533-position model. Lineage: Bacteria; Bacillati; Actinomycetota; Actinomycetes; Actinomycetales; Actinomycetaceae. The record is from RNAcentral.